AACGAACGCUGGCGGCAUGCCUAACACAUGCAAGUCGAACGAGACCUUCGGGUCUAGUGGCGCACGGGUGCGUAACGCGUGGGAACCUGCCCUUAGGUUCGGAAUAACUCCCCGAAAGGGGUGCUAAUACCGGAUAAUGUCUUCGGACCAAAGAUUUAUCGCCUUUGGAUGGGCCCGCGUUGGAUUAGCUAGUUGGUAGGGUAAAAGCCUACCAAGGCGACGAUCCAUAGCUGGUCUGAGAGGAUGAUCAGCCACACUGGGACUGAGACACGGCCCAGACCCCUACGGGAGGCAGCAGGGGGGAAUAUUGGAAAAGGGGCGAAAGCCUGACCCAGCAAUGCCGGGGGAGUGAUGAAGGCCUUAGGGUUGUAAAGCUCUUUUACCCGGGAUGAUAAUGACAGUACCGGGAAAAUAAGCCCCGGCUAACUCCUU
Molecule: ribosomal RNA, 432 nt
Filed under: uncultured bacterium
Lineage: Bacteria
Description: partial 16S ribosomal RNA
Rfam family: Bacterial small subunit ribosomal RNA
Source: RNAcentral